RNAcentral lists this ribosomal RNA (551 nucleotides) under uncultured bacterium. RNAcentral's name for it is "bacterial SSU rRNA". It matches the Rfam family "Bacterial small subunit ribosomal RNA", at positions 1 to 527 of the family's 1533-position model. The record is from RNAcentral.
UAGAGUUUGAUCCUGGCUCAGGGUGAACGCUGGCGGCGUGCCUAACACAUGCAAGUCGAGCGAAGCUGCUAGACAGAUCCCUUCGGGGAGACGUCUAGUAGACUGAGCGGCGGACGGGUGAGUAACACGUAGGUGACCUACCCCUCAGAGGGGGAUAACUGGGAGAAAUCCCAGCUAAUACCCCAUACGUUCCAUGCUGUAAGAGGCAUGGAAGAAAGGGAGCAAAUGCUCUGCUGAGGGAGGGGCCUGCGUCCCAUCAGGUAGUUGGUGAGGUAACGGCUCACCAAGCCUACGACGGGUAGCCGGUCUGAGAGGAUGGCCGGCCACAAGGGCACUGAGACACGGGCCCUACUCCUACGGGAGGCAGCAGUGGGGGAUUUUGGACAAUGGGCGAAAGCCUGAUCCAGCGACGCCGCGUGCGGGAAGAAGCCCUUCGGGGUGUAAACCGUUGUGGUGGGAGACGAAUAAGGUAAGGAGUGGAAAGCCUUACCGAUGACGGUAUCCCACUAGAAAGCCCCGGCUAACUACGUGCCAGCCGCCGCGGUAAUACA